UACGGGGGGGGCAAGCGUUGUUCGGAAUUACUGGGCGUAAAGGGCUCGUAGGCGGCCAACUAAGUCAGACGUGAAAUCCCUCGGCUUAACCGGGGAACUGCGUCUGAUACUGGAUGGCUUGAGUAUGGGAGAGGGAUGCGGAAUUCCAGGUGUAGCGGUGAAAUGCGUAGAUAUCUGGAGGAACACCGGUGGCGAAGGCGGCAUCCUGGACCAUUACUGACGCUGAGGAGCGAAAGCCAGGGGAGCAAACGGG
Molecule: ribosomal RNA, 253 nt
Filed under: uncultured bacterium
Lineage: Bacteria
Description: partial 16S ribosomal RNA
Rfam family: Bacterial small subunit ribosomal RNA
Source: RNAcentral